UGUGUGCCCAAAAUCCUGAAAGGAAGAUGGAGGAGAAUGGAGCAGGGCCACAAGCUGGCCUGUGAUUUGGCAGGAAGUCCCAUGAGACGUCAAGGACAGGCGAGUCCAUAUAGAUAGUUCCUAGAUUGGGGGUUGUUUAGGCUGGGGGUUGGAGGGAAGAGCAGAGUGAUGGCUAAAGGGUAUCGGGCAUCCUUUGGGGAUGAUGAAACUCCUAAAGCUGAUUGCAGUGGUGGUUACACAACCCUGUGAGUACACAGAACCACGAGGUGUAUACUUGAAGUGGGUGGGUUUAUGUCAUGUGAGUUAUAUCUUAAUAAGACAGAAGAAUCCUAUGAGAAAGAAAAAGGAGGGGUGACCGCCGUGGUCACAGGUCAGCUCCCACCCCUGGCCUGACUUGGACGGUGUCCUGGUUAACCGCUCGCCUCCUGCUUUGGCCUGAGGAUACUUGCUGUGCCUCUCCCCGCCAUCUAAGCCACUCUCACCCACUGCUUGCUCCCGACACACACACACACACACACACGCCCGCAUGCACAAGUGUUUGCUUGGCCUCUAGCACUUCUGAACAACGUGCUUUGUGCCCUGGAGGAGUGUCGGAGACUAGAACCCUUUCUCAGGACUUCUGAGGGGCUGGCAAAGCCCUGGCCGAGCUACACUGCUGGCGGCAGGUGGCAGAGGGCCUGGGCAGCAGCACCCCAUGAAGAGGUGGUGCGCCAUGCCUUGAUCACUCCCCACACUGUGUGACCCCUGAGGCUGGAGUCAGCCCUGCGUCCUCGGCUGUUCCCCUUCCUGCUGGCACCUGAGAUGGGCUGGGGGUUACCGGAAGGAAAGGCAAGCAGGCACCCAGCACCCCAGGCCUGGCCUCUGCAUGCAGGUCUGUGUACAUCUGCGCGCUCUGCCGCUGCCUCACAGUGCUUUCUUUCUUCAUGCAUCUGCUGAUUGACACAUAGGCUGGGUCCGUGCAUUGCCUGUUACGAAUGGUGCUGUCAUGAACGAGGGGGUCCAGGUAGCCAUGCGACAUACUGAGAUCCUUUCCGUCGGACACACGCCUAGCAGCGAGAUUACUGGAUCACGUGGAGGGUCUACUGUCAGCUUUUGGGCAACUUCCAUACUGUUUUCUUCUCCUUUUUUUAAAAUAAAUAAUUAUUCUAUUUAA
This is a long non-coding RNA of Tupaia belangeri chinensis (Chinese tree shrew), 1153 nucleotides long. RefSeq lists it as uncharacterized. The record is from RefSeq and is a predicted model, not a curated record. NCBI's taxonomy places the organism in Eukaryota, Metazoa, Chordata, Mammalia, Scandentia, Tupaiidae. The transcript is spliced from 3 exons.